UACAGAGGCCCCGAGCAUUAUCCGGAAUCACUGGGCGUAAAGGGUGUGUAGGCGGUCGUAUUAGUCCUUCGUGAAAGCUUUUUGGCUUAACCAAGAAAACGCGGGGGAAACGGUACGACUUAGAGGUUGCGAGAGGUAUAUGGAACUCAUGGUGUAGGGGUGAAAUCCGUUGAUAUCAUGGGGAACACCAAAAGCGAAGGCAAUAUACUGGCGCAUACCUGACGCUGAGACACGAAAGCGUGGGAAUCGAACGGG
Molecule: ribosomal RNA, 255 nt
Filed under: uncultured bacterium
Lineage: Bacteria
Description: partial 16S ribosomal RNA
Rfam family: Bacterial small subunit ribosomal RNA
Source: RNAcentral